UGUGUAGGUACUACUAUAUGUAGUUUAAUAGGGAAGUUCGGUACUAUUCCGACGCUGUCCCCGCAACUGUUAAGCUGACGAUGAUUAUAACCACUGUGCAUUCGCAUGGGAAGGAAAUCAGAGAUUGAAGCAAAGCCAGGAGACCUGCCUAUAUAAAAC
RNAcentral lists this non-coding RNA (159 nucleotides) under Lysinibacillus fusiformis. Lineage: Bacteria; Bacillati; Bacillota; Bacilli; Caryophanales; Bacillaceae. The record is from RNAcentral.